UACGGAGGGGGCUAGCGUUGUUCGGAAUUACUGGGCGUAAAGCGCACGUAGGCGGCUUUGUAAGUUAGAGGUGAAAGCCCAGGGCUCAACCCUGGAAUUGCCUUUAAGACUGCAUCGCUCGAAUCAUGGAGAGGUGAGUGGAAUUCCGAGUGUAGAGGUGAGAUUCGUAGAUAUUCGGAAGAACACCAGUGGCGAAGGCGACUCACUGGACAUGUAUUGACGCUGAGGUGCGAAAGCGUGGGGAGCAAACAGG
Molecule: ribosomal RNA, 253 nt
Filed under: uncultured bacterium
Lineage: Bacteria
Description: partial 16S ribosomal RNA
Rfam family: Bacterial small subunit ribosomal RNA
Source: RNAcentral